CCGUUUGCUCUCGCCUCAACGUUUGUCUCUUCCGUCGCUUCGAUUUGUUUUCUUUCGUUUUGGUUUCGUGAAAAAAGGAAUAGCGGUGAGAUAGUGUUCGAUUUUGUCAGCAAUUUUAACUGUGUUCGAUUUUCUCGUCGCUGCGGUGGAAUUGUGGUGGGAGAAAGAGGGGAGAGGUAGAGGUGAUUUGUGCUCCAUUUUGAUUUACUAUUGGGUUCGUCAUCAGCCUGGAGAGUUUUGCAAGUUGGCAUGCCAAGUUUCCGAAAUGGGUACAAUUUCGCAGCUGGAGCUGGAGCCUGGAGGGGCUACUACACUUCCAACAACUGCAACAUCUGUCUGCCCCUUUUCAUUUUGGAUUCAGGUCUCUCAGUUUUCGCAAUUCAAAGCCCAGGCUCUUCAAUUGCUAGCUGCUAAAGCGACAGCUCCUCAAAUGAGAUGCCGAACGAGCUGUUUCCUGCCGCCAAUUAUGCAACUGACAUGACGGAAUCAACCAAGGACACUUCUGAGGAGAUAAUGUAAAGUAGUUGGUUCUAACUGCAAACAUAUCAAAUUUUUGCUCGAGUCUAAUCAUAUUUUGCUAAAGUAGUUGGUUAGCAUCUCUUAUUUGAAAUUUGUAAAUACACAUCUGGUCAAGAUACCAGAUUUUGGAAUCGGUAAAACAAUACCAUCUUCGGUUAUAUAAUACAUCUAAUGUUUGUAAUUGCUGUCUUACAAUGCAUAAAUGAUAUAGCCGCAGCAUCGCGCAGGCAUC
This is a long non-coding RNA of Rosa chinensis, 751 nucleotides long. RefSeq lists it as uncharacterized. The record is from RefSeq and is a predicted model, not a curated record. The transcript is spliced from 3 exons. NCBI's taxonomy places the organism in Eukaryota, Viridiplantae, Streptophyta, Magnoliopsida, Rosales, Rosaceae.